This 429-nucleotide ribosomal RNA is filed under the name Bacillota bacterium. RNAcentral's name for it is "Firmicutes bacterium partial 16S ribosomal RNA". It matches the Rfam family "Bacterial small subunit ribosomal RNA", at positions 355 to 776 of the family's 1533-position model. The record is from RNAcentral. Lineage: Bacteria; Bacillati; Bacillota.
UGGGGAAUUUUGGACAAUGGGCGAAAGCCUGAUCCAGCAAUGCCGCGUGUGUGAAGAAGGCCUUCGGGUUGUAAAGCACUUUUGUCCGGAAAGAAAUGGCUCUGGUUAAUACCUGGGGUCGAUGACGGUACCGGAAGAAUAAGGAUCGGCUAACUACGUGCCAGCAGCCGCGGUAAUACGUAGGGUCCAAGCGUUAAUCGGAAUUACUGGGCGUAAAGCGUGCGCAGGCGGUUGUGCAAGACCGAUGUGAAAUCCCUGGGCUUAACUUGGGAAUUGCAUUGGUGACUGCACGGCUAGAGUGUGUCAGAGGGGGGUAGAAUUCCACGUGUAGCAGUGAAAUGCGUAGAGAUGUGGAGGAAUACCGAUGGCGAAGGCAGCCCCCUGGGAUAACACUGACGCUCAUGCACGAAAGCGUGGGGAGCAAACAGG